GACGAACGCUGGCGGCGUGCCUAAUACAUGCAAGUCGAGCGGACGGAUGGGAUCUUGCUCCCGGACCGUCAGCGGCGGACGGGGGAGUAACACGUGGGCAACCUGCCUGUAAGACUGGGAUAACUCCGGGAAACCGGGGCUAAUACCGGAAAACUCUUUCGCACACCUGAGGGAAAGCUGAAAGAUGGCAUCUCGCUAUCACUUACAGAUGGGCCCGCGGCGCAUUAGCUAGUUGGUGAGGUAACGGCUCACCAAGGCGGCGAUGCGUAGCCGACCUGAGAGGGUGAUCGGCCACACUGGGACUGAGACACGGCCCAGACUCCUACGGGAGGCAGCAGUAGGGAAUCUUCCGCAAUGGACGAAAGUCUGACGGAGCAACGCCGCGUGAGUGAUGAAGGUUUUCGGAUCGUAAAACUCUGUUGUCAGGGAAGAACAAGUACCGGAGUAACUGCCGGUACCUUGACGGUACCUGACCAGAAAGCCACGGCUAACUACGUG
Molecule: ribosomal RNA, 498 nt
Filed under: uncultured bacterium
Lineage: Bacteria
Description: partial 16S ribosomal RNA
Rfam family: Bacterial small subunit ribosomal RNA
Source: RNAcentral